Passer domesticus (house sparrow) is the source of this 1369-nucleotide long non-coding RNA. RefSeq lists it as uncharacterized. The transcript has 2 exons. The record is from RefSeq and is a predicted model, not a curated record. NCBI's taxonomy places the organism in Eukaryota, Metazoa, Chordata, Aves, Passeriformes, Passeridae.
GCUGACCCAGGUGAUCCUCUUGGAAAUUGCAGGGUCCUGGGGUAGCUCUUUCUCCCCAUCAAGUUGGCAGCUUAUGCUGGGGCUCCAGGCUCACAAGGUCCUGUAGGGGGUUCUGGUGGAAAUCUGUCAGGUUCCUGUAGCUUCCAGGACCUGCCUAGCACAGGAUGUUUUGGGUACUGGAGCUGGAGGACCAAAAGAGCUGAGAGGUUUUUAUGUAGGCUGCACAUCCUGGAAUCGCAGCUGAGAGUUUCAUCUCUGUGGUUCCCUGGUUCUGGGGUUAGGAUCCUGAAAUAAUGGACCAAAAUUGCCAAUAGCAGCACAAAUAUGCACAGAAAUUGUUAUUCAGCUUACCUGGAAACUUGGUGACUCCUGAGUUAAACUGACCUGUGAGUGAAUUCAUAUCUUUGCCUUCUGUGGAAGAUUGUGGCCUCAGCAAGAUUCAAUGUGGAAUGAAAAUCCAGCCACGUUCACAGCACUGCCUUCCAUGGGGAUGCAACUGCUGCAUUUUAACGUUUGACUGGAGAAAAAAGUAGGUUAGAAGGUUUUGGUGUCCUCCCUGGAGCUUCAUCCUUGGCUGAACAGAUAAUAACUCUCUAGGAAAACACUCCAGCAGUCUGGUGUUUUCAUCCUACUUCCCUGCAAAACCCACUUUUCUCUAAGGAGGUGAGGAGGGUAAACGUCUGCAAUUAGCAGAUUCUGCAUUGAGGAGCUUGAGAAGAUUCAAUUCCCAUUUUGGUACUUUUGAAAGGACUGGCCCCCAAUCCUCACCUGACGUCCCUCACACUACUGAGCAGCUGAUGUGCUGCAGGCAGGACCCUGCUUGGCUGUGGAGCUGGUCUGUAGUUCUGGCAUGUUCCCUGCAGGUUUGAUACACAUUUUGAGUGGGGAAAACAAGAAUGGUGCCUUAAAGGCAUGGAAUAAUGCUGUACAGGAUAUGUCUCGAUGAAGUACAAAUACCAGAAAAAUUCAUAUCUUGUGUGUAUUUGACCUGGUCACUCCAGUCUCCCUUUAUAGCCUUGGGAGAAGAAAAUGGCACAUUAAGAGUAUAAUUUCUGACCUAGGUUUUCUCAGGCUUUCUGUGGGAUAUGUUGAUGAAUAGCUCUUGACUAGGAAGCCACAGAUCUUGUGGAGAGCUCAGGUGUGAGCAUAUUCCUCUGGCCACAUGAAGCUGGAGCCACUCUCCAGUAUUGGGACUUUUUGCCAUCACCCUGCAGGGUGCCAGAAUAACUGCACAUGUAAUAUUAUGCUGUAUUUCCUAAGUGUGGCAGAAAUCCAUUCCCCUCCAUCCCUGUGUUAUUACUCAAAUACCACCCUGAGGACUCUGGAAUGACUUUUUGGGAAUCCACUGUUACUCUUCAGCUGUUUUUGU